This 745-nucleotide ribosomal RNA is filed under the name Salmonella enterica subsp. enterica serovar Panama. RNAcentral's name for it is "partial 23S ribosomal RNA". It matches the Rfam family "Bacterial large subunit ribosomal RNA", at positions 444 to 1190 of the family's 2925-position model. Lineage: Bacteria; Pseudomonadati; Pseudomonadota; Gammaproteobacteria; Enterobacterales; Enterobacteriaceae. The record is from RNAcentral.
AUGGGGGGACCAUCCUCCAAGGCUAAAUACUCCUGACUGACCGAUAGUGAACCAGUACCGUGAGGGAAAGGCGAAAAGAACCCCGGCGAGGGGAGUGAAAAAGAACCUGAAACCGUGUACGUACAAGCAGUGGGAGCACCCUUUGGGGUGUGACUGCGUACCUUUUGUAUAAUGGGUCAGCGACUUAUAUUCUGUAGCAAGGUUAACCGAAUAGGGGAGCCGGAGGGAAACCGAGUCUUAAUUGGGCGUUAAGUUGCAGGGUAUAGACCCGAAACCCGGUGAUCUAGCCAUGGGCAGGUUGAAGGUUGGGUAACACUAACUGGAGGACCGAACCGACUAAUGUUGAAAAAUUAGCGGAUGACCUGUGGCUGGGGGUGAAAGGCCAAUCAAACCGGGAGAUAGCUGGUUCUCCCCGAAAGCUAUUUAGGUAGCGCCUCGUGAAUUCAUCUCCGGGGGUAGAGCACUGUUUCGGCUAGGGGGCCAUCCCGGCUUACCAACCCGAUGCAAACUGCGAAUACCGGAGAAUGUUAUCACGGGAGACACACGGCGGGUGCUAACGUCCGUCGUGAAGAGGGAAACAACCCAGACCGCCAGCUAAGGUCCCAAAGUCAUGGUUAAGUGGGAAACGAUGUGGGAAGGCCCAGACAGCCAGGAUGUUGGCUUAGAAGCAGCCAUCAUUUAAAGAAAGCGUAAUAGCUCACUGGUCGAGUCGGCCUGCGCGGAAGAUGUAACGGGGCUAAACCAU